This is a long non-coding RNA of Pan troglodytes (chimpanzee), 3320 nucleotides long. RefSeq lists it as uncharacterized. Lineage: Eukaryota; Metazoa; Chordata; Mammalia; Primates; Hominidae. The record is from RefSeq and is a predicted model, not a curated record. The transcript is spliced from 4 exons.
UGUCAAAAAGGAGAGAAAUGUAAAAGGAAAAAAAAAAAAAAAAAAAAAAAGAGGAGGCACUCUCCAACCUGCCCUUGUGAUUUCACCACCAAGCCCAGGCACUGGGGUGGAGACAUUUUAGGUCUUCCCUGAGGUUUGCCAAGUUCCUCACCCCAAUUCCUGAAUGUUUGAUGACUGAGAGAGAGUAUUUUGUCUUUAUGAUCUGCUUAGUAUUUAUGCUUCCAUUGCACAGUGGAGGUGGAGUCUGGGAUCUGAGCCCUGGUUCUCUAUCUAUCAUCCGUGUUCUCUUGUGCAAGUCAACUGCCAACAAGCCAUGAAGGCACAGGCUGGGAGACACAUGGGUUCUUUUUUUUUUUUUUAGAUGGAGUUUCACUUUUGUUGCCUUGUUGCCCAAGCUGGAGGGCAAUGGCACCAUCUCGGUCACUGUAACCUCCGCCUCCCGGUUCAAGUGAUUCUCCUGCCUCAGCCUCCUGAUGUACGGGUUCUUUAGCACUUGUAAAUGAAACAAGUCACUUCUAGCUCAAUACAAAUCACCGUAUGAAUUCUAAGGGGCAUUAAUAGGAGCAUGAUGUCUAGAAUGAAGGAGGUGAUGGUCCUUUUCACUGGAGCAGGUGGGAGCGCACCUCCAGAGGGCUGGGCCCCGAGGGCUAGGUGUGAAGAAGGUUCUUGCAGGCUGGAGUGUUUGGGCGGAUGUUGUUGAGGCAGAAAGCACAGGAAAUAUGGGCAGGCCAGAGGUGACUUCUAAAUUCCCUUCCAAUGCAGGGAGUUUGUGAAUCUAUGAACCUUUCUUUUUCAUUCCAGGAAGCAGCUGCUUGGGGAGUGGAGGUCCAAGGCUUUUCAGAUUGCUGGUGUGGUACCUAGCUAUGGAAACUACUGAGCAGUCAGGUUCACAGAGUUAGUGCCUGAGUGCAGCCUUGACCCCUAGUCUCACCACCGACAACACCAGGACCCCUUUAGGAUGGGUGUUCAAGGCCCUCCAGGACCACCUCUUGCUAAACCUCUGCUGCCUCAUGCCUAAAUACCUCUCUGCAUCCCUCACAGGCAAAAGAGAUCCAGACGAUAGAGUAACAUCAAAGGUUCUGUGAACUGCAGGUGAACAGACGAUCAUCUUCACCUACAGGGCUCAUCGCCUUUUCAUUCCCGUGCUUCUCGGGAGGAAAGCUACCGUGGAGCAGCCCUUCAGCAGAGGAAUCCGUGGUGGAAACCCAAGCGUCCUGGCUGCAGUCUCCUGGGAACUGGAGUGUGAAUGCUCUCCUUCUGACGGCAGACAGCUGAGAACCUGCAGGGUUAAAAGUGCACAGUCCGGGAAGGUUCUGUUCCCAGGACAGUGCUAUCGAGUCCACUUGCGGGCGCUCCACGCGGUCUACCUAAAGGGAACAGCCUGCGGCGUCGGCACCCUAUUCAUCUGUCCAGCGGCGGGAGGCUCCAGGUCCAGUCUGAGGAGUAAAUGCUGGGCGUGUAACCUCAUCAGUGUUGGAAACCUGGUGAGGCUACACGGCACAGAGGGGCCGGACUGAAUCAGGGAAAGAGGAGUUGGGCUGUCUUCUCAUUGUCACACACCAUCCCACCAUGGAGGACUCAGGCUGUCUCAUGGCUACAGAGGUAGUGAAGCAGUUGCCAGGCGCCAGAGCAGGAGCGGAAUUUCUCCGUGAAGACAGUGCAGGUCCAAAAGGGCCCAGUUUUGAAGACUGGGGGCAAGGAGUGGAGGAUGAAGCUGUCUGCUGGAUCACAAGAGUCAAAGACAUGCCUUCAGCCCACACAGGUGGGGAGGCUCAGAGUGCCUGCCCCCUAGGGCCUCCACGCUGGACAUUGGGUCAGGGAAGCCCCCUUUCCUGAGUUGUUCUGUGGGACUCCAAAGGGCCUCCUGCCAAGCUCUCUGACAGUUCACAUCCCAUCUGAAGAGCCUCAUGCACCAGUCCAGGGCCUCUGAGAAGCAGAUGCCAAGAGGGGAUUAAAAAUGCCAAGAUUUUGUUGGAGGAGAUGCCCAGGUGAGGAAAGUCAGAGGGAGCCUGUCUGAGGAGUUUUCAGACCGGGACUCAGGGCAGACCCUGAGGGGAGGAGGGAGAACAGGUUGGGAGGCUGCAUCCUAGACUGCCAUGGAGUCUAAGGAAGAUUCCACGGCCAUGCAAGAGUGCUCCAGCCAAAGGCACCCUUGGAGGAGCCCACCUCUCCCGGGGACUGCCUCCCUUCAUGUCCUCCUGUGCUCAGUCCCUUCAGAGUGCAGCCCCUUUGGCCUUGGACACUUCCUCUCCCUGCAUUUCAUGGGCUGCAGGGCGUGUUCUCCCGGCCUCCACACCCAGGCCUGCUCAGAGGUAGGGUUGGGUGAACCUGGGGCUUGGGAAUAUCCCACUGGGGGGAUUGGGAGGCCUGCAAAGGUAGGUAGAGGGCCACACAGUGAGGGGUGCAGAAGGGAGGGCCUGUGGACAGAGGGGGUGAACCCAAGGACGGCAAGCAGCAGCAGGGACAGGCGUGAUCACAGGAGGCCACCUGUGAAGGGGGAAGGCCAGAUUUAGCAGGAGCGUGGACUCCCCGCCUCUUGCUCUUUCCCCCACCGUGUUGUAGCUCCUUAGUGUGGGUAUCCUCCCACCUCACUUCGCAUGGGAACCCUUCCGCAAGUGGCUUCACUUACACCUGUGUCUUGUUCUGUCUGGGCUGCUGUAACAAAAUAUCUGAGGCUGGGUAAUUUAUAAACCACAGAGAGUUAUGGAGGCUGGAAGUCCAAGACCAAGGCACAGGCAGGUUUGAUGUCUGCUGAGGCCUUGACCACCGCAUCACAUGGUGGAAGGCAGACGGGCAGAAAGAGGACAAACACUGUGUCCUCACAGCAGAAGAGAAUGAACCUCCUCCCUCCAGCCCUUUGAUAAGGGCCCUAACCCCAUCUGGAAGGGCUCUACCUGAUGACUUAAUCAACUCCUAAAGGCCCUGCCUCUUAAAACUAUCUCAUGGGGAUUAUGUUUCAAUAUAUAAAUUUUGUGAGACACAUUCAGACCAUAGCAACCUACUAUGUUCUUUUUCCUUAUCUGUAAUGACUGGUUAUGCUUAUAAAUGUUUGAAAGCAAAAGUGCCUUUUCCGUGAAAUUUUGCAUCUGUUUCCAUUUUAUCCCUUCUCUGAGCAUCAUGGAGACUCAGCUGUCCCGCCCCGGAGACUGGUGUCAGGAACCUGGUGUAUGGUCUCCAAGCUACGCUGCUGCUCUGAUGCUUCUCAUCUCUUUGACUCUUGAGCUGAGGUUGAUCCCUCCUACUAUCUUGUGUGGUGUUGAGUGGAGGAGGGGACAGGCAGGGAAGGGGCGUGUGGCCAGCCCACAGUCACCCACUCUUGC